This 431-nucleotide ribosomal RNA is filed under the name Sarascelis cf. chaperi MR490. RNAcentral describes it as "partial 16S ribosomal RNA". It matches the Rfam family "Bacterial large subunit ribosomal RNA", at positions 1830 to 2600 of the family's 2925-position model. The record is from RNAcentral. Lineage: Eukaryota; Metazoa; Arthropoda; Arachnida; Araneae; Palpimanidae.
CUCUUAUAGAACUAAUUAUAAGUAAAAUCUGCUCAAUGAUUUUAAAUAGCCGCAGUUAUCUGUGCUAAGGUAGCAUAAUCAUUUGCCUUUUAAUUAAAGGCUAGUAUGAAAGAUUAAACGAUUUAUAAAAUGUCUCAAAUUAACUUUUCAAAAUUAUUCUAAAUGUUAAAAAACAUUUAUAAAUAAAAAAGACGACAAGACCCUAUCAAACUUUACUUAUGUUUAGCUGGGGCAGCUAUUUAACUAAAUUUUAUAUUACUUUAACAAAAAUCAAUUUCAAAUUAAUUAUAAUAAGUUACUGUAGGGAUAACAGCGCAAUUAUAUUUUUAAGAUCUUAUUUAAAAUAUAGAUUACGACCUCGAUGUUGAAUAAUUUAUCUAUUAAACGCAAUAGUUUAAAAAGAUGGUCUGUUCGACCAUUAAAUUUUUACA